CGAAGAACCUUACCAGGUCUUGACAUCUUUUGACAAUCCUAGAGAUAGGACUUUCCCUUCGGGGACAAAAUGACAGGUGGUGCUUGGUUGUCGUCAGCUCGUGUCGUGAGAUGUUGGGUUAAGUCCCGCAACGAGCGCAACCCUUAUUGUUAGUUGCCAGCAUUAAGUUGGGCACUCUAGCAAGACUGCCGGUGACAAACCGGAGGAAGGUGGGGAUGACGUCAAAUCAUCAUGCCCCUUAUGAUCUGGGCUACACACGUGCUACAAUGGACGGUACAACGAGUCGCAAGACCGCGAGGUUUAGCAAAUCUCUUAAAGCCGUUCUCAGUUCGGAUUGUAGGCUGCAACUCGCCUACAUGAAGUCGGAAUCGCUAGUAAUCGCGGAUCAGCAUGCCGCGGUGAAUACGUUCCCGGGCCUUGUACACACCGCCCGUCACACCAUGAGAGUUUGUAACACCCAAAGCCGGUGGGGUAACCUUUUGGAGCCAGCCGUCUAAGGUGGGACAGAUG
RNAcentral lists this ribosomal RNA (510 nucleotides) under uncultured bacterium. RNAcentral's name for it is "bacterial SSU rRNA". It matches the Rfam family "Bacterial small subunit ribosomal RNA", at positions 962 to 1473 of the family's 1533-position model. The record is from RNAcentral.